GAAACGGAUUUUUAUUCAAAUCCAUCCAAUUUAAAAAUAAAAAAGAUAU
Non-coding RNA from Stegodyphus mimosarum, 49 nucleotides. The record is from Rfam. NCBI's taxonomy places the organism in Eukaryota, Metazoa, Arthropoda, Arachnida, Araneae, Eresidae.